RNAcentral lists this ribosomal RNA (275 nucleotides) under Calamagrostis lapponica. RNAcentral's name for it is "partial 18S ribosomal RNA". It matches the Rfam family "Eukaryotic small subunit ribosomal RNA", at positions 1561 to 1831 of the family's 1831-position model. Lineage: Eukaryota; Viridiplantae; Streptophyta; Magnoliopsida; Poales; Poaceae. The record is from RNAcentral. RNAcentral also lists the same sequence under 4 other names.
UUCAUCGUGAUGGGGAUAGAUCAUUGCAAUUGUUGGUCUUCAACGAGGAAUGCCUAGUAAGCGCGAGUCAUCAGCUCGCGUUGACUACGUCCCUGCCCUUUGUACACACCGCCCGUCGCUCCUACCGAUUGAAUGGUCCGGUGAAGUGUUCGGAUCGCGGCGACGGGGGCGGUUCGCCGCCCCCGACGUCGCGAGAAGUCCAUUGAACCUUAUCAUUUAGAGGAAGGAGAAGUCGUAACAAGGUUUCCGUAGGUGAACCUGCGGAAGGAUCAUUG